This 489-nucleotide ribosomal RNA is filed under the name uncultured bacterium. Its description in RNAcentral is "partial 16S ribosomal RNA". It matches the Rfam family "Bacterial small subunit ribosomal RNA", at positions 28 to 507 of the family's 1533-position model. The record is from RNAcentral.
GACGAACGCUGGCGGCGUGCUUAACACAUGCCAGUCGAACGGUGAAGGGCCCAGCUUGCUGGUUCUGGAUGAGUGGCGAACGUGUGAGUAACACGUGAGUCACCUGCCCCCUUCUUCUGUAUAUCCGCAUGAAAGUGUGGCUUAUACGGUAUAUUCUGGGUCUGUCUCAUGGCGGGCCCGGGAAAUCUAUUGUUUCGGUGGGGGAUGGGCUCGCGGCCUUUCAGCUUGUUGGUGUGGUGAUGGCCUACCGAGGCGGUGACGGGUAGGCGGCCUGAGAGGGGGCGCGGUGACAGUGGGACUGAGACACGGGCGAGAGUCCUACGGGACGGAGCAGUGGGGAAUAUUGCAGAAGGGGAGAAAGCCUGAUGCAGCGACGCCGGGUGAGGGAUGGAGGCGUGCGGGUUGUAAACCUUUUGGGUGAGUGAAGCAUGCGUGCUCGUUGUGGGUGGGUUGACGGUAGCUGGUUAAGAAGCGCCGGCUAACUACGUG